Molecule: transfer RNA, 72 nt
Filed under: Rexea prometheoides (royal escolar)
Lineage: Eukaryota; Metazoa; Chordata; Actinopteri; Scombriformes; Gempylidae
Description: tRNA-Asp
Rfam family: tRNA
About the family: Transfer RNA (tRNA) molecules are approximately 80 nucleotides in length. Their secondary structure includes four short double-helical elements and three loops (D, anti-codon, and T loops).
Source: RNAcentral
AAGACACUAGUAAAAUAAACAUUACAAUGCCUUGUCAAGGCGUAAUUGUGGGGUAAAGUCCCACGUGUCUUU